GGAGGCGUCGGAUAGUGGUUUAUUCCACCACCUUGGAAAGGUGGCAUACCGAAAGGUAUCGUGAGUUCGAAUCUCACCGCCUCCG
Molecule: transfer RNA, 85 nt
Filed under: Candidatus Adlerbacteria bacterium RIFCSPHIGHO2_02_FULL_54_18
Lineage: Bacteria; Candidatus Adleribacteriota
Also listed under: 1 other name
Description: tRNA-Ser
Rfam family: tRNA
About the family: Transfer RNA (tRNA) molecules are approximately 80 nucleotides in length.
Source: RNAcentral